Long non-coding RNA from Lutzomyia longipalpis, 3879 nucleotides. RefSeq lists it as uncharacterized. The transcript is spliced from 2 exons. NCBI's taxonomy places the organism in Eukaryota, Metazoa, Arthropoda, Insecta, Diptera, Psychodidae. The record is from RefSeq and is a predicted model, not a curated record.
CAUGGAGAUUCGACAAAGUAGAGAAAAAAUGGCAAUACAUAUCGUGAAACCAUACAUAAAGUUACAAGAAGUUGCCGAGGCUAUAAUAGUGUUGGUUUUCAGUGUUUUCACCGUCAGCGAUCGGCUACGAUCGUGACCUGUAUAGUACUACUUGGGCUAAUGAUCUCUUCCGUGGCACCGCGGUAAGGCAGUCAACGAGAUUGAGUCGACGAAAGAGGCCUUAUUGUCCGGUAUAAGUUACAAUAUAUGGGAGAAAUUCCAAAAUCCUGACCCAACUGUUGCGUUCAGAGUGUGAAAGUGACCAAAUAAUUUUACGAUAGGUAUACGUGUAACGAAAUUUGUGCAACAGGACAGUGAAUUAAUCAUAAUAGUACGAACCUUUUCUGAGACAUUCAGUUUCGUAUGUGGAUGUGGAUGUGUGUGUAUUUGACAUAGCGUGGGAAGUGCAUUUGCCAUUUUCAUUUCAUAAAAAAUAAACUUAAAAAAAAUGAUUGAAUAAACAGGAUAAACAUUAGUAUAUUGGAUCUAUCGAUAUAAUAAUGGUGCAUCUAAUGAACCACAAGCACAAGAAAUAAUCUAAUCUAUAUGAAAAGUGCACAUCUUCACUAGGUGUUCGAUAAUGAAGUAAAACGACAUGCACGUGGGUGCUGCGUCAUCCCAAGCGAAUAUGGUGUUGGCUGGAGUGUGGUCAGGAAGCGCAUCAUCCGCGAUAAUGCUGGGUGGGCCGAAAUUAUCGACAGAUCUUCAGAUAACUGUUGCACACCAAUCGCAGCGCAACUCCAUGGGAUAUGGAGCUUCCAAGGGUCUCCUCAAUGGACCCGGACAAAAUAAUUGCUUCCUCAACUGUGCCGUGCAGGUAAUAUUUACUUAUUAUUUCUAUAUAGUUGCACUUCAUCGCAUAUUAAAACAGAAUGGACCUUUAAAAUAUUAAAUCAAUAUUAUAUUUAGUAUACAAAGAAAGACAAGAGAUUUAAUUUUUUUUGGACAAAGUUGUGACAUAAAGAUCAUAAUAUACUCUCGCGCAAUAGCAAUACCAUAUAUAAUAAUUGUUCUAUAGGAUAUACUUUACAUGGCUCUAAAAAUUUUAUCAUAUACAUAUUUAGACACAUAUUGAUUUUACUUUUGAAACCAAAAUUCAGUAAAACAAUCUUGCUGUUGUUUCACAUUGCUCUAUACACGAUGAAUGAUAACUUAUUUUUGCACAUGGGAAGAAAUGCAGGUUCCAAAGUAAUAAUGUGUAUGAGUGAGGAAGAUAACAUAAUUUAAAACAUCGAUUCUCUUAUUACGUUAUACUCUCAUUUAAUAGUCCAACUCUUUACAUAGUGUUAUACAGAGUUGUGUCUUUUAGAGAAAUCUUUAAUUCAAUAGGGAAUUUGAAGAGAUACCCAACUACAGGCAAGUGUAUUAACGCUACCGCAUGAAGUAGUAAUUGUAAAAAUUUUCUCAACGCAAUAAGGUGGAGAAAUAUAAGAAAAGAUUAAUUACUCGUCAUGGGAAGUGGACUCUCUUUGUGCUAUAUAAUGGAUUCAUCAUCCACUUCCAGACUUCCCCUCUCCUUCAACAUUGGAUCUAAAAAAAAAAACGUGGGAUUUUAAUGUUAUAAAUUCGAGAAUAAAUAGAAAUCAUACUGAAUUAUCCAUAUCAAUUCUAGAAGUACAUAGCAGAAUAGUAUUUUUUAUGAAAUAUUACCUCGACAUGGUUCUUAAGAAAUUGUCGACAUUACCUAAUUAUUCAUGCAAUUGCUUCCCUCCAAUUUACCUCGCCCUGCUGGACAAGGACUAUUUGCACUUUACAUUAAAUAAAUUAAAUGAUAUACUAAAGGGUGAGGUGGGAUGGAGUAUAUGUAGUAAUUAUAAUUCUUAUUAUAUUAUUAAACUAUUUCAGCCUCGAUGAGACUUUGUGAGAGAUCGUAAUAGUAAUAGCAAACUGCAAAGAGUAACUAAUCCUCAUGCAUUUAUGAACUGUGGUAUUGUACCUAUGUAUUACGAAAAGUUAUGGUCAUCGCAGAUUUCUAUACCCUAACUCUGGCCGACAUUUUUUAACUUUUUAAUUAGAACACUUCCUCUAUCUAAUGAUAGAGGCAUUACGAUUUUUUUGAAAAAAAAAAAUAUUUUUAUGAAACCCUAGAACAUUAUUCGCUUUCGUACUUGUGAUCGAUUUUUUUGAGCUUGUAACAUUCAUUCUGAGACGGUAAAUCUGGAAUAUCGAGCGGGAAAAAUAAAUUUUUUGCACAGGUUUUAUUAUUUUUUUGAACUGAUUCCGCAUGGCAGAAAAUUGUUGAAAAUCAUGAGGGACAGAAACAUAAAUUCUAUGCAAAUAACGUAUAAAACUGACCAGAAAGCUUGAGUAAGAAUCCGAUCGUUAUUUCACCUUUCUUAACAACGAUAAGGAUAUUAUGCAUUCUGCUAAAUAAUUAUAUAUGCCUUAGUAUCAACAUCUAUUUGUGACAUGGAAGCUCAAACUAACAACGAGAGCAAUAAUAAUUAGUAAUUAAUGCUUCCCUUAUUCAAUUCAUAGUGAUUGCGUAAUGACCAAGAAGGAGGUAAGAGGAAGUUAUUUCUUUUUCGCUCACAGCAUCACACAUAAUUAUGAAUUUCCUUCAUCAUUUCUCCCAUUACAUUCCAUCACUAGUGCGAAGGGACAUUAAUAGAACACGCAUAACUUUCAAUCGGUAUCACCCAUGGGAAGUGGCUAUAAUCUCUCAAUCACACACCAUACUUUGUUGAAAGUAAAACUGUUAAAAAACCUUAUAAAAUAAACUUUUUCAAACAUUAAAAAAUUUUAUUAUAAUGCUUAAUGAUACACAUUGACCUUUUGGAAUAAGUAUCUAAAGGAUUGAAAAAAAAGAAACAACUCUAUAAAGUGUAUUUUCAAUUUAUGUUUUUGAAAUUCUAAAAAUUUUUUUUAUAAAAUAUCAUUCGUGUUAGUGUUGCAAUCAAUUCAUAUACAAUACCUACCAUCUACAUAUCAGAUCUACCAUUUAAAAUUUUUACACUUUUUUUCUAUUCUAAAUUUUAAGAGUUAUGUAUCAUGAGUACCCAAUUCAGUUAUUUGCGCCACUCCCAUAUUUAUUGAAGUUUUUUUUAGAACUUUUUAAUAAAAUGCGUUAACUUUUUUGUUUUCUACUUGAAAAAUGUAUAAAAAGUAAGAAUAGAAUUUUGACUGAUUUUCUAUUGGGCUAAAGCAGUAAAAGUCGCACGUGGCCCUUUUCAAAAACUCAAGUUUAAUCAUUGUCAUUAUAAAUUAUCAGUGAACUGUUGUUUAUUUAUCCUCUAUGGGGAAAGAAAGAGAGCUGUAAAAUGGAAGAAGAACCGGUUUUACGUUAGAAUCGUGUUGCGUCAACCUCGCAUACUGGAGGUUAAAGUAAGGGAACAAAAGCGCGCGCAUUCUCUGAGAUCGCGCCAUUUGUUGGAAUCAAAAUAAAACCAAGAUGCUGUACAAAGCUCUCAGAGUAAUACAAUGCAUACAUAGUAUUUCUCCACUAAUGCUAUUCAACGUGAUAGCAUGAAAUCAGACUGUGUGCGAGAACUUUUUACUUUUACAUAUAGAAGCAUAAAACUUCAUAUCGUGUUUUAACACUACAUAAACAUAAGUAUUUACUCUUUCCAUAUUAUGUAAAGUUUCAAAACCUAUUGACUACUUUACAUAGAAACUCGAUUAGGUACCUGGAAGAUUUCGAAUUAAAAUUCCAUACUAUUUUAAGCAUUUAUCAUCCAACAUUUUAAGCAUAUUAUAGAAUUUUCAUAUGAUUAACAACCUUUCUCUGCGACGAAAGAAGUGUUUAAAGGGAUAUCACACCGAGAUGUGGUUGGACUAUAAUAUGAAGCACUUAAAAUAAAAAUUGGUUAUUAGUAUAGAGAGAAAAAUAGCGGUAGGAGU